This is a small nucleolar RNA of Cavia aperea (Brazilian guinea pig), 129 nucleotides long. The record is from Ensembl. Lineage: Eukaryota; Metazoa; Chordata; Mammalia; Rodentia; Caviidae.
AGUGCUUGUGCCUGUUUUGAUCUAACUUGUGGGACUAAAACUUAUGGAGAAGUGUAAAAAAUAAACCGUCUUUUGCAACCCAGAACUCACUAUUCAGUAUGAGUUUUGAUACAUAUAAGAAGGAAUAUU